CGGAACGGGUGAGUAAUGCGUGACCAACCUGCCCCAUGCUCCAGAAUAGCUCUUGGAAACGGGUGGUAAUGCUGGAUGCUCCAACUUGACGCAUGUCUUGUUGGGAAAGUGUUUAGUGGCAUGGGAUGGGGGUCGCGUCCUAUCAGCUUGUAGGCGGGGUAAUGGCCCACCUAGGCUUCGACGGGUAGCCGGCCUGAGAGGGCGGACGGCCACAUUGGGACUGAGAUACGGCCCAGACUCCUACGGGAGGCAGCAGGG
This 258-nucleotide ribosomal RNA is filed under the name uncultured Gardnerella sp. RNAcentral's name for it is "partial 16S ribosomal RNA". It matches the Rfam family "Bacterial small subunit ribosomal RNA", at positions 98 to 354 of the family's 1533-position model. The record is from RNAcentral. Lineage: Bacteria; Bacillati; Actinomycetota; Actinomycetes; Bifidobacteriales; Bifidobacteriaceae.